AAAGCGGAAGGAGAAAAAGUUGUUUACAUGGUCUGCUGGAAGCGAUGAAGACGAUGGUGAAGCUCUUUCUGUGUGAUCGGGUGACACUAUCUGGGUACCCGUUUCCACCUUCCCUUCGUUCUUCUGGCUUUAUUCUUUCUGUUUCUGAUGGUUUGAAGUGGUGAAGCUGGAGACUAAUGCCCAGGCUGAUCAAUACUUUCAGUUUCUCUGUUUUCUUUUGUUCACUUUGUUUGCGUUCUGGGGACAAAAGCAAAGCUGGGAACGCUGGCUUUUUGCUCUCUCCUCUUUUUUUUUUGUCUGUGUUUUCGGUCUUCCCGCUCUCGGUACCCCUGGUUUGUUCCCUUUUCUAGUUCUUCCCUCUGUUUUGUUCUCUGGUCUCUCUCUAUCUACUCUCUGUCUAUUCCCCUGUUUUUUUUCUUCGUCUCUGUUCUCUGUCUCUUUUUUUCGUUCUUCCCUGCCGUUUGUCCCCUUUCUCUGUGGCCUUCUCUGACUUUUAUAAAGCCAGAGGAUGGCAUCUGUUCAUGUGUUUGUGCCUCACGAUCGUGAGGCACGAACGCCUCUGUUUCUUUGAGAAGAAACAGGGGAAACAAUUUGCUAUUCUGGUUCGUCCUUCUGUGUUCGUUUUCUCCCCCUUUCUCUCGGUUCCUUCUCUAGAUUUUAGAGCCAGAGAAUGCCAUGCGCCUCCAGAUAAUGAGGCGACCAUGCAUGGACUUUAAUUCAGGAGCAACGGUCGGCGACUCUUCGUGUACGUUUCAGGAGUGGCGUGGCAUUUUUCCUCUAGCCUUACAGCCGAGUAAAUGCCGUACUUUUUCAGUAACGUAUUGCAUCGUGGGUAGCUGAGGUGAAUUGCCUCUUCUUCUUUCCCGCUGAAACGGCUUCCCUGGUGUAAUGAAGAAGGUGAUGAACAGUGUCCUUUGAAACGGUAUCAUUUUGAGAUGUGAAAUGGCCAUUUUCAGUUUGUUCACUCAAGUUCUAAAAUUUUGUGGUCAAGUCCUUGUGUAAAUUGCAAUUGGACCCCUGAAUCUCAGCGCCAUUUACAAAUUGGUCCUUGGAUUUUAAUUUCAUGCAACUUUAACCAGAAUCAGCCCUAUACUUUGAUAAUUUUUCAAUUAAGC
Molecule: long non-coding RNA, 1115 nt
Filed under: Populus trichocarpa (black cottonwood)
Lineage: Eukaryota; Viridiplantae; Streptophyta; Magnoliopsida; Malpighiales; Salicaceae
Description: long non-coding RNA (PTRI_LNC000072)
Source: RNAcentral